CCUACGGGAGGCUGCAGUGGGGAAUAUUGGGCAAUGGGCGCAAGCCUGACCCAGCAACGCCGCGUGAAGGAAGAAGGCUUUCGGGUUGUAAACUUCUUUUGUCAGGGACGAAGCAAGUGACGGUACCUGACGAAUAAGCCACGGCUAACUACGUGCCAGCAGCCGCGGUAAUACGUAGGUGGCAAUCGUUAUCCGGAUUUAUGGGGUGAAAAGGGCGUGUAGGCGGAUUUUUAAGUCAGCGGUAAAAUGUCCGGGCUCAACCCGGGACUGCCGUUGAAACUGGGGAUCUUGAGUGGGCGAGAAGUAGGCGGAAUGCGUGGUGUAGCGGUGAAAUGCAUAGAUAUCACGCAGAACUCCGAUUGCGAAGGCAGCAUACCGGCGCCCGACUGACGCUGAGGCACGAAAGCGUGGGGAUCGAACAGGAUUAGAUACCCGUGUAGUC
RNAcentral lists this ribosomal RNA (442 nucleotides) under uncultured bacterium. Its description in RNAcentral is "partial 16S ribosomal RNA". It matches the Rfam family "Bacterial small subunit ribosomal RNA", at positions 338 to 795 of the family's 1533-position model. The record is from RNAcentral.